Molecule: ribosomal RNA, 1014 nt
Filed under: Triticum aestivum (bread wheat)
Lineage: Eukaryota; Viridiplantae; Streptophyta; Magnoliopsida; Poales; Poaceae
Description: partial small subunit ribosomal RNA
Source: RNAcentral
CUUAUUGUGGAUGAUCCUUCAUCACUAUAUUAUUGCAAUGCUCCCUCUUUGGGCUUUAACACUUCGAGCACUCCAAAUGUUUCACAUGCUUGUGUUCAUAGUCCUUGCAUAUCAUGUAGAAAUUGCUUGACUAAAUCUCAUGAUGAUAUGCUUGCUAUGUCUUGUUGCCAUGAUAAAAAUGCAUCUAUUUCCUCGAAUUGUUGUGCUAACAAUGUAGAGGAAACCGAACACUCCAUGGAACAAGAUGUGGUGUUUAAUGGUGCCUCAAGGGAUCCUACAUCAUCAUCUAUUGCUUUUUGCCUUAUGGCUAAGGCGUCAAAGGUAUCUCCUACUUUGAACCCCAAUAUGUCUCUUGAUGAUGAUGUUGAUGCUAAUGAUGAUGAGGAUAAUGAUGAAGAGAAUAAUAAUGUUGCCUCCUUAAAAACUAAGGGGGAGAUGAUUUUUAAAGCUCUUCAUAAAAAUAAAAUUGCUCGUUCCAACUUCAUGGAAAUUAUGUCCAUUGCCAUUGAGGGCAAGAAAUAUAUUGAGGAGUUGGAAUCUCAUCUCGAGGAGCAUGAGGUCACCAUUGAGAAAAUGGAAGCUCAUGGGCGUGAUUACGCAAAUGAGAUUGCGGACCUCUCUCAAGCCCUUGAACUUGAACAAACCACCAAGGAAUCUCUUGAGGAGACUUUUGCUCUAGAAUUGUCUAAAGUGAAGGAAUCUACUGAUAGAGCUCUUAAGGUGGCCAAUGUUUUUGAAACUAAAAAUGCUAAGCUUGAAGUUGCUCAUGCUAGACUCCUUGAGGAUUUUGAGCACCUCGAAAAUGGCUCAAGGGUCAUCAAGGGUGAGCUCAUCAAACUCACCGAGUCUCAUGGUCAACUUGAAGCUUCUUAUUUAAAAGAGCUUGCCAAGUUGCCUUCUCCUCUUGUUGUUAAUGAUGAUGCUUGUGCUACUAAUUCUAUUACUUGUGAAGCAUCCAUUUUGAAGGAGAAUGUUGAGCUACGGGCUCAACUUGAGGUGCUAUCUUGCAAUUAU